UGCAGUCUGAUGGCUUCUGCGAAACUCACUGGCUUUCCUUCUGCAAUUUCUCUUCAAUUUCUUGGAAGGACUGAACUCACCACUGAAGCAGAAAAUAUCUAUUAUAAGUAGAAGUGGAACUAUCGAUGACUCCUACAAAGUGGUUCAACAUAGCUAACAUCUGGGUACGGGGGGAGAAAUGUAGGUUUUAUUCAAUGCGGCUUUCCCCAUGUUCCAAACGGACAUACUGGAGAAGAUGGCAAUACGGUUGAGAAAGCUACCAGUAUUUUCACCAGGACACCAAAGCCUAUCUCCGGAGGACUCAUUCAAAUGUUUUCAUCUGCUCCAAUAAAUCCAGGCAAAAAUACAGGAUCUAGUCCACAGCACGAUGAUAAACCGGGAAGCAAGAAGGGUACAGGAAAACCAGCCAAAGAUAGCUAGAAUAUUUAGCAUAGAUGUAUGCAUAGAGUAGAGUAUAAGUGCACUUGGUGAUAGUUAUAAUGAAGGUUGUGUUGGUUUUCUCUAGCUCUGCUUAAGGAUCACAUGCUUGUCAAACUGCUUUAAGUCUUACAAAGAUAUCAUAAGUCAAUGUUCUGGUAAAGCGCAGAAUGAUGUGUCUUGAUUGUUCUGCCACAUAUUUAGCAAGCCUUGUGAUUAUAAAUAAAUGUUGAAUUACAUUCGUAGAUGCACCUUGUUAUUUAAAACGAUAUUGUAAGAUAUAUAACUAUUGCAUUUAA
This is a long non-coding RNA of Cryptomeria japonica (Japanese cedar), 716 nucleotides long. RefSeq lists it as uncharacterized. The record is from RefSeq and is a predicted model, not a curated record. Lineage: Eukaryota; Viridiplantae; Streptophyta; Pinopsida; Cupressales; Cupressaceae. The transcript has 3 exons.